UUUUUCCUCAAAUUUAUCCAA
RNAcentral lists this microRNA (21 nucleotides) under Arabidopsis thaliana (thale cress). Its description in RNAcentral is "ath-miR865-3p". Its record names the gene ath-miR865-3p. Lineage: Eukaryota; Viridiplantae; Streptophyta; Magnoliopsida; Brassicales; Brassicaceae. The record is from miRBase by way of RNAcentral.